Molecule: small nucleolar RNA, 103 nt
Filed under: Dasypus novemcinctus (nine-banded armadillo)
Lineage: Eukaryota; Metazoa; Chordata; Mammalia; Cingulata; Dasypodidae
Source: RNAcentral
GUGAUGCCAGGGUUAAGGGUUAAGCUGCAGCGCCAGAGCACAUGCCUGCGCGUAACUGGGGCUACCGGCCCCACGGGCAGGCCUCUGACCACCAGGGACAAGG